This is a non-coding RNA of Nelumbo nucifera (sacred lotus), 1918 nucleotides long. Lineage: Eukaryota; Viridiplantae; Streptophyta; Magnoliopsida; Proteales; Nelumbonaceae. The record is from RefSeq and is a predicted model, not a curated record.
UUUCAGAUUCUAACACUUUGACCCCUUUUCGAUGAUUGGAUUGAUGGAAGAAGUUAAUUUAUUAAAAUGCGAAUUUGAGAUUCAUGUGUGGAAGUAUGACAUUUCAAAAUGAUGAAAUGAGAAGGAGAAAGCGUUCUUUUUUUUACCCAUUUUGGGUGAGAGAGAAGAAAAAAGAAACAUCGAGUAAAGGUUUUAUUCAAGAAAGGGCAAACUGACACAAAUUAAGGAUUUAUGGAUGUUUAAAAGGCACAUGUCAUUCACAUGAGAAUCUUUUGUAGAAAUUACUAGAGAGGGGGUAAAGUGUUGGAACCCGAAAGUUUAGGGGGUUGGGUGUUCACUACCUCCAAAAUAUAGCAUGGUGAUCUGUCAUUUGCCUUUUUUUUUUUCUCUUGUGAUAGGGAAAAUAAAGCUUUUUGGACAAAAUCAUGUGGGCUAGGCAAUACAAUGUGAAAUCGAAAUGGAUCAUGACAUCAUGUCACCCAUAGCCAUAUAAGAAAGAGAGAGAGAGAGAGAGGAGGAUGAGGAAUUGACUAAUUGAGGAGAAAGAGGAGGGAAUCAGAGAAUAGCUAAAUAGGAAUCUUCCUCUGGUGCAGGUUCAUUACCUACACCAGGAAAGCCAGAAGAAAGAAAAAGAGAGAGAAGGUUUGUGAAGGCAGAAAAAUUGGGUUUUCCUGUACGCGAUCUAUAGUUUAGUUUCUACUAUUAUUAUUAUGACGUAGAAGAGGUAAAGGAACGUCCAGAAAGAAUAGCGGGUAGGGAGGUUAAGAUAUGGGACGUUGUUGAGCCCCCAACCAACACCAACAGUUGGAAGCAUUAGGAUAGGAUUUAGGCGUCGCCUCUGUUAUCUGUUGGUAUCAUACGCAUACCCCAUUUUCUCAAGUCAAUUUUCUAGGACGAACAUCCACCACAAUAAGAAAUCGGGACGCAUUGACCAAGCGACAGUGUGUAGAAUUCUGGUUUGGUCCAAAAAUAAGAAGGUAAACUACAAAUGCUUGGAACUUUCGAAGCAAAUCUGUAAAGGGAGAGGGAGAGAGAGAGGGAGAGGGACAUCAUUAACAAUAAUUAACGCUUAUAAGUUGGUUGUCUCAUUAGUCUCUCUCAUUCUGGGCCCGCCGAAGCUGCUCUCUUUAGGAAGGCCUUAAUGGCGUCAGAUUUGUCAAUAUAACAUCAAUGCCUAAUUGCUUAUGCCGCCUCGUUAUUUGCACUUUCAAGCGACGCGCGCGCGCUCUCUCUCUCUCUCUGAGUCGUAGGGGGUUGUUUGGUAAUUGGAAUAAUGGUGGCGUGUGCGUUGCGUUUUGGAUUGAUCACCAUAAUUCGCAAAACACAAUUCACCGCUGUAGUCAAUAGUCAUGGAUGAUUACGGCGACAGGUGACGACAGCUAUACAACUUCUGAACGGCAAAAAUUUGGUGGGAAGUUGAGCCUCCCAAGAUAGCUGAUUCCAUUAAAAACUUUUGUGUUAUCUCCCCUCUCUUAGUGGAUCUCAAAAGAAAUGUCAAAAAAUUAAGGUUUUAUGAGUUCUACGGGGAUUGACCAAAGCAAAGACAUUGCGUUCGAUCGUAAGUCUCUUGAUCUCUUAAUGUUUGAAUUUCGGGUUUUGACUGGGGUAAUUGGAUUUCUCAGAAUCCAAAUCAUCUAAAGAAGUUGAAAAAAAUCUAAGCUCUGGAUUUCUGUUAUUUAUUGAGCUUAAACGAAUGAAAUCUUGCGCAUCACCGGCUAAGAUCCACAAGGUGAGUUCAAAAUUUGAACAAAUCUUAAGGUACCAACCCCUGGCUAUUGAAGAUCUGACAGUAAUUCAGUUUGGAAUUCUUAAGAGAGAUGCCCCAAAACCUGCCUUACUGCCGUCAAUUUUGAAACCUGGCCUCCUGAUGGUGAUCUGUUUCAAAAACGCAAAUUGCAGAGAUAAGAGGAAAAAAAAA